GUUUUACCUAAGUAAAGCUUUACCGGAAAGGCUAAACUAGCCUCGAAGAAACUUGGUGUGCUCAGUAGGGCGAAGCAGUAUUUCAUGCCCUGCCACCGCCUACAAUUAUAUAAGGCACAGAUCCGGCCCCACAUGGAAUACUGCUCUCACCUAUGGGCUGGGGCGCCCCAGUACCAGCUCCUUCCAUUUGACCGUGUUCAACGCCGAGCGGCUCGAAUCGUUGGCGA
Molecule: long non-coding RNA, 227 nt
Organism: Melitaea cinxia (Glanville fritillary)
Lineage: Eukaryota; Metazoa; Arthropoda; Insecta; Lepidoptera; Nymphalidae
Exons: 4
Source: RefSeq, a predicted model, not a curated record